UUUUUAUAAAUGUGACCCAAUUAAUCAUAUCAAAUCUGGAUUUACUACGGAUAAAGGUCGAUCCUAAUAGAUAUAGAACUAUUUGAUAUGAUAUAUUUUAUUCUUAUUCUAUAUAUUUAAUUAAAUAGAAUACUAAUCAGACUUUGACGGGAAGUUGAUGUAAGUUGAUGUGGACUCUAGAUAAAGGGGUAUUGGUCCUGCCAUACGCAUUCUGGUGAAGAAUUAUUAUCGGUUCCACACCAUACAGUAGAGUGCCUGAAAUAGAAGGAGAAGCCAAACUAUCUAAAUUUAGUUUGUCACUUCCAGAUCAUAGUCGAACUUCUUGCUUCCGCAGAUUGAUCAAAAAAUUUUUCUCUAUGACGCUCUGUAAGUUAUCUUAUUUUAUUUUGAUCCUGAAUUUUGAUAUGUAUUUAAUUUUUUUCUUAUUUUACACUAAAAAAUUUAUCAUAUUAGACCUACAUUCAUCAAUUUUAGUGUAUCUUGUAAUAAUAUAAUUGUUUUUUUUUUUUUUUGAGAGAGAGAUAGAUAGCACGCUACCGGCUUCGUUUAUUUUAUUUAGAAAUAAACUUAGUUGGAAAUGUGAAUCAAUUAGAAUUCGAAUUUAGAUUUCGGGUACCAAUCAUUAAGCACUUUGCCACUUACUUCGGGGACGGUAGGUGUAAUAAUAUAAUUGUUACCCUUUACAUUUACUCCAUCUGUAUC
This 702-nucleotide long non-coding RNA is filed under the name Ananas comosus (pineapple). RNAcentral's name for it is "long non-coding RNA (ACOM_LNC008391)". Lineage: Eukaryota; Viridiplantae; Streptophyta; Magnoliopsida; Poales; Bromeliaceae. The record is from RNAcentral.